CCCGCUUCUCGGCCUCUGGCUGAGAUCGCCUGCGGUAUCUGCUCUUAUCAGUUUAACAGCUGCUAUGUCCUCUGUCUGAGGACAACACUUUAAAUGGAUUUUUGCAGCAAGGAGAUGGAAUGGGAGCUUGCCCCGCCCACUCCACGCAUCGACCUGGUGUUGCAGUACCUCCCGGAAAGGUGCACCCCCU
This 190-nucleotide small nuclear RNA is filed under the name Propithecus coquereli (Coquerel's sifaka). RNAcentral's name for it is "U2 spliceosomal RNA (ENSPCOG00000007952.1)". It matches the Rfam family "U2 spliceosomal RNA". From Rfam's summary of the family: U2 is a small nuclear RNA (snRNA) component of the spliceosome (involved in pre-mRNA splicing). The record is from Rfam by way of RNAcentral. Lineage: Eukaryota; Metazoa; Chordata; Mammalia; Primates; Indriidae.